This 159-nucleotide ribosomal RNA is filed under the name uncultured compost bacterium. Its description in RNAcentral is "partial 16S rRNA". It matches the Rfam family "Bacterial small subunit ribosomal RNA", at positions 355 to 507 of the family's 1533-position model. The record is from RNAcentral.
UAGGGAAUCUUCCACAAUGGACGGAAGUCUGAUGGAGCAAUGCCGCGUGAGUGAUGAAGGAUUUCGGUUCGUAAAACUCUGUUGCGAGGGAAGAACAAGUGUAAACUAACUACUUACACCUUGACGGUACCUCGUUAGAAAGCCACGGCUAACUACGUG